GGGGAAUAUUGCACAAUGGGGGAAACCCUGAUGCAGCGACGCCGCGUGGAGGAAGAAGGUCUUCGGAUUGUAAACUCCUGUUGUUGAGGAAGAUAAUGACGGUACUCAACAAGGAAGUGACGGCUAACUACGUGCCAGCAGCCGCGGUAAAACGUAGGUCACAAGCGUUGUCCGGAAUUACUGGGUGUAAAGGGAGCGCAGGCGGGCGAUCAAGUUGGAAGUGAAAUCCAUGGGCUCAACCCAUGAACUGCUUUCAAAACUGAUUGUCUUGAGUAGUGCAGAGGUAGGCGGAAUUCCCGGUGUAGCGGUGGAAUGCGUAGAUAUCGGGAGGAACACCAGUGGCGAAGGCGGCCUACUGGGCACCAACUGACGCUGAGGCUCGAAAGUGUGGGUAGCAAACAGGAUUAGAUACCCUGGUAGUCCACACCGUAAACGAUGAUUACUAGGUGUUGGAGGAUUGACCCCUUCAGUGCCGCAGUUAACACAAUAAGUAAUCCACCUGGGGAGUACGACCGCAAGGUUGAAACUCAAAGGAAUUGACGGGGGCCCGCACAAGCAGUGGAGUAUGUGGUUUAAUUCGACGCAACGCGAAGAACCUUACCAAGUCUUGACAUCCUGCGACGAUGCUAGAAAUAGUAUUUUCCUUCGGGACGCAGAGACAGGUGGUGCAUGGUUGUCGUCAGCUCGUGUCGUGAGAUGUUGGGUUAAGUCCCGCAACGAGCGCAACCCUUAUGGUCAGUUACUACGCAAGAGGACUCUGGCCAGACUGCCGUUGACAAAACGGAGGAAGGUGGGGAUGACGUCAAAUCAUCAUGCCCUUUAUGACUUGGGCUACACACGUACUACAAUGGCGUUAAACAAAGAGAAGCAAGACCGCGAGGUGGAGCAAAACUCAGAAACAACGUCCCAGUUCGGACUGCAGGCUGCAACUCGCCUGCACGAAGUCGGAAUUGCUAGUAAUCGCAGAUCAGCAUGCUGCGGUGAAUACGUUCCCG
RNAcentral lists this ribosomal RNA (995 nucleotides) under uncultured bacterium. RNAcentral describes it as "bacterial SSU rRNA". It matches the Rfam family "Bacterial small subunit ribosomal RNA", at positions 356 to 1376 of the family's 1533-position model. The record is from RNAcentral.